UGGGGAAUAUUGCACAAUGGGGGAAACCCUGAUGCAGCGACGCCGCGUGAGCGAAGAAGGUUUUCGAAUCGUAAAGCUCUGUCCUAUGGGAAGAUAAUGACGGUACCAUAGGAGGAAGCCCCGGCUAACUACGUGCCAGCAGCCGCGGUAAUACGUAGGGGGCAAGCGUUGUCCGGAAUCACUGGGCGUAAAGGGUUCGCAGGCGGAAAUGCAAGUCAGUUGUGAAAGGCAGAGGCUCAACCUCUGUAAGCAAUUGAAACUGUAUUUCUUGAGAUGUGGAGAGGCAAGUGGAAUUCCUAGUGUAGCGGUGAAAUGCGUAGAAAAUAGGAAGAAUACCGGUGGCGAAGGCGACUUGCUGGACACAAACUGACGCAGAGGAACGAAAGCGUGGGUAGCAAACAGG
RNAcentral lists this ribosomal RNA (403 nucleotides) under Fusobacteriota bacterium. Its description in RNAcentral is "Fusobacteria bacterium partial 16S ribosomal RNA". It matches the Rfam family "Bacterial small subunit ribosomal RNA", at positions 355 to 776 of the family's 1533-position model. Lineage: Bacteria; Fusobacteriati; Fusobacteriota. The record is from RNAcentral.